RNAcentral lists this long non-coding RNA (652 nucleotides) under Homo sapiens (human). RNAcentral's name for it is "HSALNT0338248". The record is from RNAcentral. Lineage: Eukaryota; Metazoa; Chordata; Mammalia; Primates; Hominidae.
GUAGACAUCGUCUUGUCCUCAGAAAGAAAUGUAUGAGGCAGCACGGAGGAUUGAAAGGGGCAUAAAAUGCUGAAGAAACAGGCAGUGAAUGAGUCUCUGUCUCCUUCUCCUCUCCCAUCUCCGGUAGGCGUCAGUGCCCCCUAGACACACCCAAAGCCAGGCCAGGGCCUUCUGCUAAUGUAGGUAAGUAACCUCUAACAGAAAAUGGGAUUCAACUGAGGAGUAAAGAUCAACAACCAAAACUUCCAUGCCCGUCAUCCCAGUCGGUUCAGAGGAUGGAUUAACCGCUCCAGACUUUACAUCUGUACCUGAUGUUACUGCCUGGAGCUCACCAAAUCAAAGGGAUGCAGAGAGAAAAAUGCUUAUAUCUGUGCUUACUUUUUUUUUCUUUUGAGAGAGAGUCUCGCUCUGUCGCCCAGGCUGGAGUGCAGUGGCGUGAUCUUGGCUCACUGCAACCUCCAUCUCCCAGGAUCAAGUGAUUCUCAUGCCUCAGCCUCCUGAGUAGCUGGGAUUACAGGCAUGCGCCACCAUGCCCAACUAAUUUUUGUAUUUUUAGUAGAGAUGGGGUUUCACCAUGUUGGCUAGGCUGGUCUCGAACUCCUGACCUCAGGUGAUCCACUCACCUCAGCCUCCCAAAGUGCUGGGAUUACAG